GCCCAGACUCCUACGGGAGGCAGCAGUGGGGAAUAUUGCGCAAUGGGCGAAAGCCUGACGCAGCGACGCCGCGUGAGGGAUGAAGGUCUUCGGAUCGUAAACCUCUGUCAGCAGGGAAGAACGGUCACUGUGCUAAUCAGCAGUGAAUUGACGGUACCUGCAAAGGAAGCACCGGCUAACUCCGUGCCAGCAGCCGCGGUAAUACGUAGGGGGCGAGCGUUAUCCGGAUUUACUGGGUGUAAAGGGAGCGUAGACGGUUCUGCAAGUCUGAAGUGAAAGCCCGUGGCUUAACCGCGGAACGGCUUUGGAAACUGUGGAACUGGAGUGCUGGAGAGGCAAGCGGAAUUCCUAGUGUAGCGGUGAAAUGCGUAGAUAUUAGGAGGAACACCAGUGGCGAAGGCGGCUUGCUGGACAGUAACUGACGUUGAGGCUCGAAAGCGUGGGGAGCAAACAGGAUUAGAUACCCCUGUA
This 471-nucleotide ribosomal RNA is filed under the name uncultured bacterium. RNAcentral's name for it is "bacterial SSU rRNA". It matches the Rfam family "Bacterial small subunit ribosomal RNA", at positions 329 to 792 of the family's 1533-position model. The record is from RNAcentral.